Molecule: non-coding RNA, 2440 nt
Organism: Struthio camelus australis
Lineage: Eukaryota; Metazoa; Chordata; Aves; Struthioniformes; Struthionidae
Source: RefSeq, a predicted model, not a curated record
AAACGAAGUCAUUAGCUUCGGAAAGAACACGGGGCGAAUCCAGGACAAGACUUUACGCCGAAAACUUUUAUUUCCCUGCUGGUUCCGGGACUGGCUGUCUGGUAAAAGCAGUGGAGACGGCGGCAGAGCGCGAGGCGUUUAUCGUAGGCAAGCCCAACCGGUACAUGUUCGAUUGCGUGGUCAGUGAGUUCAACAUUGAUCCUGCUCGUACCAUCAUGGUGGGAGAUCGACUGGACACGGAUAUCCUCAUGGGCAACAACUGCGGCCUCACGACGCUGCUGACUCUCACGGGAGUCACUACGCUGGAAGAAGUGAAAGGUCACCAGGAGAGUGACUGUCCUGCCAGGCAAAGCCUGGUUCCCGAUUACUAUGUUGAUAGUAUAGCUGACCUUCUUCCAGCACUGGGGGAUUAAAAUAGCAAAACCCUUACAGCCUUUGAAGCGGUACCCUGAUGCGGGCCCUAAUUAAUCACCUUGUGACAGUAAUGUGCUCAGUAUACCACCAGAAAUUGGCAACCCUUAGCUUUUUAACCUUUCUGUCCUCUCUGUAUGAUUUUUGUUUACAUCUUGGUGUUCUAAAAUGCACUUUGAAAUGAAGAGGGCAUUAUGGUGUUACUCAAGUCUUCUGUUAUUGUAACUAAUACAUAUAUCUAAACGUGUGUGAUACUAGAUGUUAUUGUCUUCUAGACUGAGUUGAGGAAAGUAGAGCAGAGUGAUCUGAGGAAAGGAACCCAACAACUUGUAGUAUGUCCUCUCAUGGACAGGCUGUAACUCAGUCUUGUUUAUUCAGGGAAAUAACUCUUUGAGCGUGUAGUUACUCAGUGGCUGUCUUUGGAAACGCUUGCAGUGGCUGAUGUAACUAGAAUUUGGCCUUAGGUUGUUUUUUUCAGAUAGGGUCCCAUUCUAGCAGUGCAGCCUGUUGCAGGUGCGACUUCAGGUCAAAGAAACUUAAAUCGGUCUCCUUUAUUUGACCAUAAAAAUUGCACUUGUGAUGCAGAUUAGAAUGAUUCCACAUGCAAAAUGCGGAUGGCAUCUUCUGUAUACUGUAUUUGUCCAAGUAUUGGAUGUAUUUGUAAAGUACACGUACAUACAAGAACUAUCCUGAUCCUAAAUAUAUAUCAGAAUAUAUUUAAAAUAUAAACUUAAGUAUAAUAUAUGAUAAUAUAUCUUGCUUCCCAAAAGGGAGGAUAAGAGGAAUGUACUUCACUGAUCACUAUAGGUUUAAUUCUUGUAAGCUUUUGCAUUUGGUAAUGCAGAAAGUAUGUAAUCACAUAGGACGGUCAUGCACUAAUACUGCUUCCCAGAAAUAUCUGGAUUGAUUAGACAUCAAGUUAGUUCUAAAUUUUCUUAGGCUUCCCUGCUGCCUCAGCGUCAAAAUAAUUGCUUGCCUUGGCUUUAUUGGUAGGAUAGGAAUUGGGGCUCAGUCUACAAGGGAUGAAUAUAAUACACAGUGCUGCUUCUCACCGAAGUAAGCCUGUACUGCUCAAGUAUGAUAACAGCACAGUGCUUCCUUUAAAUACCUGCUUGUAACUUCUUCCUUGUGUGUCUGAUGUCGGGGCCUGGCAACAGUCACUUGUCCGAAAAAAGAGUGCCUGCUCAGGUGAUUAUUUUAUUUUCCUCUUUAGAUAGGUUUUGAGUGAUGCGCAGCUCAGGCUAUGGGAUAGAUUUUUAUGCUGGCUGAAUUGAAGGCCAUAGUUCAAAGCUUUUGUAUUAUGAAAUUAAGUGAAAAGUUAAAUAUGCAAAUACUGUAUUGUUACUCCAUAGAUUCCACUACAGGCAAUUUAAAUUCAAACACUGACCUUUCUUCCUCUCCCAUUGUUUAGCUGAAUAGCUCUAGUAGUGUGUUCGAUGCCAUUUCCUCCCACUCAGACACCAGAAAUAAGUAAACUUGCCACCUUGUUUGUAUAGCAAUAACUGCAGUUUGUAAUGUCUUUCAGUGUUACCAGAAUACUAUCUGGAUCUUGUAAAAGACUGUUCAUUUGUAACUCAGAGUUGUGUAAGGAAGCAUGAGUAGUAUCUUUCCUAUUUGUGUCUCCACCUAGGCGGCUUGCGGAAGUCACAGAGAAAUACUUACCAGAUAGGACUUUUACUUUACCUAAGUAACAUAGAAAUAGACAGUGCAUUUGCUGCGGUUAGGGCUAACUUCGCAAUGCAUUCUUUGAUUCACUUCCUAGAUUUGGUGCUUAUAAUUUCAAAACAUGUCAAGUAAAGGAGUAAAUUCCAGGUGAGGUGGUCAGUCUUGUCGAAGCAGCACGUUCUCCCUGUUGAGAACUGUUCACUGUACGAGGGAACUGUUACCUCGAUUCACUGUUCUCCACGUGUACCGAAAUGUAUUGGUGAAGGUGUCAGUUGUGCUUCAAAAGUCUCUGUAUCAACUUCCCAGUCAUUUUCGACCCUCUACUUGAUUUCACAUUAAACUUACAAACCUGCUUUCCCUUGCA